Molecule: transfer RNA, 73 nt
Filed under: Atta cephalotes
Lineage: Eukaryota; Metazoa; Arthropoda; Insecta; Hymenoptera; Formicidae
Also listed under: 1 other name
Rfam family: tRNA
About the family: Transfer RNA (tRNA) molecules are approximately 80 nucleotides in length. Their secondary structure includes four short double-helical elements and three loops (D, anti-codon, and T loops).
Source: Rfam by way of RNAcentral
GCCUAGGUAGCUCAGUGGUAAAAGCAAUCGCCUCGGCAAGCGAAAGAUCCGGGUUCAAUUCCCGAUCUAGUCG